AAAUCUAAAACUCUAUUGACAUAUAUUCAUAUAAUAUAUAUCUAGGAAUGGAACAUAGGAACUGAAGGACGACAAUCUCAGACCACCAUAUAUUCUUAACAUAAGAGAAAGAUAUUUUCAUUCCUCUUUUCCUUGAAGAAAGUCAUGGUUCUUUGUGUUCGUAGUGAAUUCUUAUUAUUCCUCUGGCUAGGAUUAUUAGUGUUUUGUCCAAGUGAAGUUUGUGGUUCGACAAGUAGAGAUCUUGCUCAACGAAGAAGAAAAAAUCAUCAGUUGAUGGUAAAGAAUCAGAGUAUGAGUACGCGUAUGCUUGAAGCAGUUGGCAUGAAGGGCCAGAAUACAGAUAAGAAACCGGCACCUCUAACUCAGACAUUUGAUCCUUACAGAACGAGCAAAAGGAGAGUUCCAAGAGGAUCAGAUCCUAUCCAUAACAAGACUUGAUAUAAAUAAGGCAUCUCUUUGCCAUAAGACAAGCAAGGCAAUUGAACACGAACGAAGAGUACAAAGGAUAAGAUUUCUCAACUGUACAUCAAAAUCAGAGGAAGAACAGACCAGAAUAUAUGUAGUUUAUAACUUCUCAAGACAAUAUCAGUUUGGCUUCAGUAUUUGUUGGUUUCUUCCAGAUAAGACUUAAUGGGUGCUUUGUUUGUAUUUUCAGUUUAUUGAUGAUACUUUCGAUGCGUUAAUGUCUCCGACCAUGUUUCUCCACAUUUACCCCUUUGUUUGAGCCCGAUUUUGUUUUGGUGGGGGGAGGAGAGGGGUGUUUUUGAAUAGUGAUCUAUGAGAAUACGUGGU
RNAcentral lists this long non-coding RNA (792 nucleotides) under Olea europaea subsp. europaea. The record is from RNAcentral. Lineage: Eukaryota; Viridiplantae; Streptophyta; Magnoliopsida; Lamiales; Oleaceae.